AGAGGUCCCUGCUGACAAGAAGCGCAGAUCGCAAAGCUGGAGGCUCAAGCCUUUCAGCAGGGGGAAUGGAGGAGGAAGUCGUGUUGGUGUCUACAGCGGAGGUGCCGUGUAGCCACAUGUGGCCUGUCGCUACUGCAUUGGAGAGUGCAACUCUAAUAGAAAUAGAACACGUUGUGGAAGACAUCCUUAGUAAUGACAGAUGCUAUCGCAAAAAAAAAAAAGAAGACCAAAAGGGCAAAUGAUGCUUUAGGUAGGGCGGGUCAGGCUGGGAAGACCUCAGCGAGGACUGAGGGAAGUGAGCCAUCAGGGCAAGGAAGGAUUGAGUCGUGCAGGCACAGUGAGCAAGCUUGGCCUAUUCGAAGAGCUCCAGGGAGACCCAACGGCUGCACCAAAGAGCAUCUAAGGACAUUUUAUCUGUCGAAGUUCUGGGGCCGCCCCCUCAGUGCAUCGUUGUGGAGGUUUGUAAUGAAGUGUGCCAGGCUCUCAGGAGGGACUGCGCCGAGGAGGUAGCCUGAGGAGUGCUGGUGAGCCACAGAAUUCCCGCAUGGCUGAAAUGGCUUUGGGCAGGUGGAAAUAAGGUGGCUUUACUGUUGCAGUUGUAAAAUUUUUUUUU
This is a long non-coding RNA of Neofelis nebulosa (Clouded leopard), 613 nucleotides long. RefSeq lists it as uncharacterized. The transcript is spliced from 3 exons. The record is from RefSeq and is a predicted model, not a curated record. NCBI's taxonomy places the organism in Eukaryota, Metazoa, Chordata, Mammalia, Carnivora, Felidae.